UGGGGAAUAUUGCACAAUGGGGGAAACCCUGAUGCAGCAACGCCGCGUGAAGGAUGAAGGCCCUUGGGUCGUAAACUUCUGUUCUAAGGGAAGAUAAUGACGGUACCUUAGGAGCAAGUCCCGGCUAACUACGUGCCAGCAGCCGCGGUAAUACGUAGGGGGCGAGCGUUAUCCGGAAUUAUUGGGCGUAAAGAGUACGUAGGCGGUUACCUAAGCAUGGGGUUUAAGGCAGUGGCUUAACCACUGUUCGCCCCAUGAACUGGGCUACUUGAGUGCAGGAGGGGAAAGCGGAAUUCCUAGUGUAGCGGUGAAAUGCGUAGAUAUUAGGAGGAACACCAGUGGCGAAGGCGGCUUUCUGGACUGUAACUGACGCUGAGGUACGAAAGUGUGGGGAGCAAACAGG
Molecule: ribosomal RNA, 403 nt
Filed under: uncultured prokaryote
Also listed under: 1 other name
Description: bacterial SSU rRNA
Rfam family: Bacterial small subunit ribosomal RNA
Source: RNAcentral